This 107-nucleotide small nuclear RNA is filed under the name Saimiri boliviensis boliviensis (Bolivian squirrel monkey). Lineage: Eukaryota; Metazoa; Chordata; Mammalia; Primates; Cebidae. The record is from RNAcentral.
GUGCUCACUUCGGCAGCACAUACACUAAAAUUGGAACGAUACAGAGGAGAUUAGCAUGGCCCCUGCGCAAGGAUGACAUGCAAAUUCGUGAAGCAUUCCAUAUUAAA